CCAAGCAUAGUUAUUGUUUUCUAUAUCAAGAACUUUAAAAUCAUAAAAUCAUAGCAUUUACAAGUUAAAUUAUUUGUUUUAUGACCCAGGGGGUAGGCAAUUUUCUAUGUUUCUUGCCCCUGGGGCCUCAAAUUUCCUAAAUAAUUCUGCUGUUUCUAGCAAUUUGGAAUAUUUAGUACAUAUUCAGGAUAGAACACACUAUUGUAAGUUUUCUUGAGAUAUUUUUGUUUUUCUAGCUUGUAUUUAUUAUGCCGUGGUGACAAAAAAGCAGAUUUAGGUGUUGCGGCUUACUUUUGGGUUAUCGAAAGGACACAAAUACCCCAUAAAUAAUAUUCAGGAAAGAUCUAUGAGUUUCAAUGACUGCGAAGAGUAAAUAUAAGCACUUCUUAACAAUUUAACUUACAAAUAUGCAAAUAUUAUGAUUUAAUUUUGUAUCCAGGACUUUAAGUAAACUAUGCAUACUGUAAACUGUGAAUUUAUGCUGAGUCAUCAUAUUUAAGGCCCAGGAUUCUAUCAAUCUUCAUUAAAUAUUUAUAAAACUUCUUAUUUGAGUUAAUUUCUUUAAAAUCUGUGAAAUAAAGCAAAUUUGGUUAAAUUCUGAAUGUUCCCCUUUUUCACCCUAUAUAGGUUGCAUUUCUGUAAAUAUUGACAAUGC
RNAcentral lists this long non-coding RNA (655 nucleotides) under Mytilus galloprovincialis (Mediterranean mussel). The record is from RNAcentral. Lineage: Eukaryota; Metazoa; Mollusca; Bivalvia; Mytilida; Mytilidae.